This 301-nucleotide ribosomal RNA is filed under the name uncultured bacterium. RNAcentral describes it as "partial 16S ribosomal RNA". It matches the Rfam family "Bacterial small subunit ribosomal RNA", at positions 509 to 807 of the family's 1533-position model. The record is from RNAcentral.
CAGUCGCCGCGGUAACACGUAGGGUGCAAGCGUUAAUCGGAAUUACUGGGCGUAAUGCGUCUGUAGGUGGCUUUUCAAGUCCGCCGUCAAAUCCCAGGGCUCAACCCUGGACAGGCGGUGGAAACUACCAAGCUAGAGUACGGUAGGGGCAGAGGGAAUUUCCGGUGGAGCGGUGAAAUGCGUUGAGAUCGAAAAGAACACCAACGACGAAAGCACUCUGCUGGGUCGACACUGGCACUGAGAGACGAAAGCUAGGGGAGCAAAUGGGAUUAGAUACCCCAGUAGUCCCUGUCUCUUAUAC